GACGAACGCUGGCGGCGUGCUUAACACAUGCAAGUCGAACGGAAAGGCCCUGCUUUUGUGGGGUGCUCGAGUGGCGAACGGGUGAGUAACACGUGAGUAACCUGCCCUUGACUUUGGGAUAACUUCAGGAAACUGGGGCUAAUACCGGAUAGGAGCUCCUGCUGCAUGGUGGGGGUUGGAAAGUUUCGGCGGUUGGGGCUGGACUCGCGGCUUAUCAGCUUGUUGGUGGGGUAGUGGCUUACCAAGGCUUUGACGGGUAGCCGGCCUGAGAGGGUGACCGGCCACAUUGGGACUGCGAUACGGCCCAGACUCCUACGGGAGGCAGCAGUCGGGAAUAUUGCACAAUGGGCGGAAGCCUGAUGCAGCAACGCCGCGUGCGGGAUGACGGCCUUCGGGUUGUAAACCGCUUUCGCCUGUGACGAAGCGUGAGUGACGGUAAUGGGUAAAGAAGCACCGGCUAACUACGUG
This 468-nucleotide ribosomal RNA is filed under the name uncultured bacterium. Its description in RNAcentral is "partial 16S ribosomal RNA". It matches the Rfam family "Bacterial small subunit ribosomal RNA", at positions 28 to 507 of the family's 1533-position model. The record is from RNAcentral.